This 763-nucleotide long non-coding RNA is filed under the name Mustela putorius furo (domestic ferret). RNAcentral describes it as "lncRNA (ENSMPUG00000031631.1)". The record is from RNAcentral. Lineage: Eukaryota; Metazoa; Chordata; Mammalia; Carnivora; Mustelidae.
ACUGUUCCUCUCUCUCUCUCUCUCUCUCUCUCAUUCUUUCCCCCUCUCCCCCACCCACUGAAACCAACUCUAUCCUUCCAUAGAAGACUUCUGUUUUCAAUAUUAAGUCAAAGCACAUUAGCAUGGGUUUGAAGGUGGGAAUACCACAUGCCUGUGAGGUGUGUUCCCUACAGACUCGACUCAGGGCUGGAAUUGAUGGAAAAAGAAGUUUAUAAACAAGCAACCCAAUUUCUCAACUUAUUCGAGAAGCUGCCUAGAAGUGAAGCUACAAAAGCCAGACGAGUUUGGCUUGCAAUUUCCAACGGUGUUGUUGAAACCUGGGACGUGAUCAGUUAGAAGAGGACGCCCCAAAUAUGCGCUCUCGUUCUACACCGAGAGCUGGUUGUGCAAUUGGCUGAUUAGCGUUUUUGCGCCAGUCCCCAGAUAAUUUUUUGUGGGCAAAAUAAAAACUACAUUCAACACAGCGCGAUUCUUUCCUUGAUAACUACCCAAGAGGGUUAGAGCAGUUUGGGGGGGGGGUUGUUGUUAUUUUCAAACGUUCUUCCUUAUUUCCCGCGAAAUAAAUGUCUAUAAUAGAUAUUCAAAUAAUACAGAGCAGAGCGUGAGGUUAGAGCAAUGGAGAAGCAGAAGAAGUAAAUCAAAAUCCUUGAGCUAGAAAUCUCUGAGAACCGUUUAACAAUGUAGUUACCUCCCGGCCCCCGGUCGUCGGCGGCUCCCGGCGGGGAGCGCCCCGCGCGGACCAGCUGCCCUCGGCCGCGGGGGC